This 292-nucleotide ribosomal RNA is filed under the name uncultured prokaryote. Its description in RNAcentral is "partial 16S ribosomal RNA". It matches the Rfam family "Bacterial small subunit ribosomal RNA", at positions 505 to 796 of the family's 1533-position model. The record is from RNAcentral.
GUGUCAGCAGCCGCGGUAAUACGGAGGGUGCGAGCGUUAAUCGGCAUUACUGGGCGUAAAGCGCAUGCAGGUGGUUUGUUAAGUCAGAUGUGAAAGCCCGGGGCUCAACCUCGGAACUGCAUUUGAAACUGGCAAACUAGAGUACUGUAGAGGGGGGUAGAAUUUCAGGUGUAGCGGUGAAAUGCGUAGAGAUCUGAAGGAAUACCAGUGGCGAAAGCGGCCCCCUGGACAGAUACUGACACUCAGAUGCGAAAGCGUGGGGAGCAAACAGGAUUAGAAACCCCCGUAGUCC